This 439-nucleotide ribosomal RNA is filed under the name uncultured bacterium. Its description in RNAcentral is "bacterial SSU rRNA". It matches the Rfam family "Bacterial small subunit ribosomal RNA", at positions 37 to 508 of the family's 1533-position model. The record is from RNAcentral.
UGGCGGCGUGCCUAACACAUGCAAGUCGAACGAGAAAGUGGAGCAAUCCAUGAGUACAGUGGCGUACGGGUGAGUAACACGUGACUAACCUACCCUCGAGUGGGGAAUAACUUCGGGAAACCGAGGCUAAUACCGCAUAAUGUCUACGGACCAAAUGCGCAAGCAGCUUGAGGAGGGGGUCGCGGCUGAUUAGCUUGUUGGCGGGGUAACGGCCCACCAAGGCAAUGAUCAGUAGCCGGCCUGAGAGGGCGCACGGCCACACUGGAACUGAAACACGGUCCAGACUCCUACGGGAGGCAGCAGUGGGGAAUUUUGCGCAAUGGGGGAAACCCUGACGCAGCAACGCCGCGUGGAGGAUGACGCCCCUUGGGGUGUAAACUCCUUUCGAUCGGGACGAUUAUGACGGUACCGGAUGAAGAAGCACCGGCUAACUCUGUGC